UAGGAAAUUUGAGAGGAGCUGUUCCUAGUACGAGAGGACCGGAAUGGACAUACCUCUGGUGUACCAGUUAUCAUGCCAAUGGUAAACGCUGGGUAGCUAUGUAUGGAAGGGAUAACCGCUGAAAGCAUCUAAGUGGGAAGCCUCCCUCAAGAUUAGAUUUCCCAUCCCUUUAUGGGAGUAAGACCCCUCAAAGAGAAUGAGGUUGAUAGGCUAGGUGUGUAAGCAUAGUAAUAUGUUCAGCAGACUAGUACUAAUAGGUCGAGGGCUUGAUCUUA
This 275-nucleotide ribosomal RNA is filed under the name bacterium. RNAcentral's name for it is "partial 23S ribosomal RNA". It matches the Rfam family "Bacterial large subunit ribosomal RNA", at positions 2654 to 2925 of the family's 2925-position model. The record is from RNAcentral.